Molecule: ribosomal RNA, 253 nt
Filed under: uncultured bacterium
Lineage: Bacteria
Description: partial 16S ribosomal RNA
Rfam family: Bacterial small subunit ribosomal RNA
Source: RNAcentral
UACGGAGGGGGCUAGCGUUGUUCGGAAUUACUGGGCGUAAAGCGCACGUAGGCGGCUUUGUAAGUUAGAGGUGAAAGCCCGGAGCUCAACUCCGGAAUUGCCUUUAAGACUGCAUCGCUCGAAUCAUGGAGAGGUGAGUGGAAUUCCGAGUGUAGAGGUGAAAUUCGUAGAUGUUCGGAAGAACACCAGUGGCGAAGGCGACUCACUGGACAUGUAUUGACGCUGAGGUGCGAAAGCGUGGGGAGCAAACAGG